RNAcentral lists this unclassified non-coding RNA (223 nucleotides) under uncultured fungus. Its description in RNAcentral is "sequence contains ITS1". The record is from RNAcentral. Lineage: Eukaryota; Fungi.
GUUAUGUUUGUUAGACGACUCGGAGGUCGUUUGUCAUUCUGUUGUUGGAGUUUUUAGGAGACGCGACAUCCGGGCCGGAGCCCUUCCGCCGCAAAGGUGCACAGUGGGGUUUGUGAAGGUCGAGCGGGGAGGCUCCGCUGCACGACCUUUGUAGGGCCGGAGCGGGGCGCCAGCCCCCGUCGUAGAUACGUUAAUGAUCCUUCCGCAGGUUCACCUACGGAAA